Molecule: non-coding RNA, 101 nt
Organism: Geotrichum reessii
Lineage: Eukaryota; Fungi; Ascomycota; Dipodascomycetes; Dipodascales; Dipodascaceae
Source: the annotation of a GenBank genome assembly
GCCUUGCUAGCUCAAUCGGUAGAGCGUGUGACUCUUAUUAAUUCUGUUCAUAGAAUAUCAAAGUCAUCACAAGGUUGGGGGUUCGAGCCCCCCGUAGGGCU